AGACCCGAAACCCGGUGAUCUAGCCAUGGGCAGGUUGAAGGUUGGGUAACACUAACUGGAGGACCGAACCGACUAAUGUUGAAAAAUUAGCGGAUGACCUGUGGCUGGGGGUGAAAGGCCAAUCAAACCGGGAGAUAGCUGGUUCUCCCCGAAAGCUAUUUAGGUAGCGCCUCGUGAAUUCAUCUCCGGGGGUAGAGCACUGUUUCGGCUAGGGGGCCAUCCCGGCUUACCAACCCGAUGCAAACUGCGAAUACCGGAGAAUGUUAUCACGGGAGACACACGGCGGGUGCUAACGUCCGUCGUGAAGAGGGAAACAACCCAGACCGCCAGCUAAGGUCCCAAAGUCAUGGUUAAGUGGGAAACGAUGUGGGAAGGCCCAGACAGCCAGGAUGUUGGCUUAGAAGCAGCCAUCAUUUAAAGAAAGCGUAAUAGCUCACUGGUCGAGUCGGCCUGCGCGGAAGAUGUAACGGGGCUAAACCAUGCACCGAAGCUGCGGCAGCGAACGUAUCACUUAAAGCGAUUCAGCGGAUGACGAUUGACGGAGC
RNAcentral lists this ribosomal RNA (545 nucleotides) under Salmonella enterica subsp. enterica serovar Montevideo. RNAcentral describes it as "partial 23S ribosomal RNA". It matches the Rfam family "Bacterial large subunit ribosomal RNA", at positions 711 to 1222 of the family's 2925-position model. The record is from RNAcentral. Lineage: Bacteria; Pseudomonadati; Pseudomonadota; Gammaproteobacteria; Enterobacterales; Enterobacteriaceae.